AGAGUUUGAUCCUGGCUCAGGAUGAACGCUGGCGGCGUGCUUAACACAUGCAAGUCGAACGAACCUUCGGGUUAGUGGCGGACGGGUGAGUAACGCGUGAGAAUCUGCCCUCAGGAGGGGGAUAACGGUUGGAAACGACCGCUAAUACCCCAUAUGCCGAGAGGUGAAAUGAAUUUCGCCUGAGGAUGAGCUCGCGUCUGAUUAGUUAGUUGGUGGGGUAAUGGCCUACCAAGACAUCGAUCAGUAGCUGGUCUGAGAGGAUGAUCAGCCACACUGGGACUGAGACACGGCCCAGACUCCUACGGGAGGCAGCAGUGGGGAAUUUUCCGCAAUGGGCGAAAGCCUGACGGAGCAACGCCGCGUGAGGGAUGAAGGCCUCUGGGCUGUAAACCUCUUUUAUCAAGGAAGAAGAUCUGACGGUACUUGAUGAAUAAGCCACGGCUAAUUCCGUGCCAGCAGCCGCGGUAAUACGGGAGUGGCAAGCGUUAUCCGGAAUUAUUGGGCGUAAAGCGUCCGCAGGCGGUCUUUUAAGUCUGUUGUUAAAGCGUGGAGCUUAACUCCAUUUCAGCAAUGGAAACUGGAAGACUAGAGUGUGGUAGGGGCAGAGGGAAUUCCCGGUGUAGCGGUGAAAUGCGUAGAUAUCGGGAAGAACACCAGUGGCGAAGGCGCUCUGCUGGGCCAUAACUGACGCUCAUGGACGAAAGCCAGGGGAGCGAAAGGGAUUAGAUACCCCUGUAGUCCUGGCCGUAAACGAUGAACACUAGGUGUCGGGGGAAUCGACCCCCUCGGUGUCGUAGCCAACGCGUUAAGUGUUCCGCCUGGGGAGUACGCACGCAAGUGUGAAACUCAAAGGAAUUGACGGGGGCCCGCACAAGCGGUGGAGUAUGUGGUUUAAUUCGAUGCAACGCGAAGAACCUUACCAGGGUUUGACAUCCUGCGAAUCUUUUGGAAACAGAAGAGUGCCUUCGGGAACGCAGUGACAGGUGGUGCAUGGCUGUCGUCAGCUCGUGUCGUGAGAUGUUGGGUUAAGUCCCGCAACGAGCGCAACCCACGUCUUUAGUUGCCAGCAUUUAGUUGGGCACUCUAGAGAGACCGCCGGUGAUAAACCGGAGGAAGGUGUGGAUGACGUCAAGUCAUCAUGCCCCUUACAUCCUGGGCUACACACGUACUACAAUGCUACGGACAAAGGGCAGCAAACUCGCGAGAGCUAGCAAAUCCCAUAAACCGUGGCUCAGUUCAGAUCGUAGGCUGCAACUCGCCUACGUGAAGGAGGAAUCGCUAGUAAUCGCAGGUCAGCAUACUGCGGUGAAUACGUUCCCGGGCCUUGCACUCACCGCCCGUC
This 1342-nucleotide ribosomal RNA is filed under the name uncultured cyanobacterium. Its description in RNAcentral is "bacterial SSU rRNA". It matches the Rfam family "Bacterial small subunit ribosomal RNA". Lineage: Bacteria; Bacillati; Cyanobacteriota. The record is from RNAcentral.